AGUUACAAGAAGACCUCCUAACUUGUUGUAACAAAUAUCCUAAACUUUUCUUUUUCAUAAUAAUCUCCCUAUUAAGUCACCCCAUUGGGUGGCUUUUUUU
RNAcentral lists this small RNA (100 nucleotides) under Streptococcus oralis Uo5. Its description in RNAcentral is "csRNA3". It matches the Rfam family "Cia-dependent small RNA csRNA1". The record is from RNAcentral. Lineage: Bacteria; Bacillati; Bacillota; Bacilli; Lactobacillales; Streptococcaceae.